Molecule: ribosomal RNA, 490 nt
Filed under: uncultured bacterium
Lineage: Bacteria
Description: partial 16S ribosomal RNA
Rfam family: Bacterial small subunit ribosomal RNA
Source: RNAcentral
AUUGAACGCUGGCGGCAGGCCUAACACAUGCAAGUCGAACGGUAACAGGAAGAAGCUUGCUUCUUUGCUGACGAGUGGCGGACGGGUGAGUAAUGUCUGGGAAACUGCCUGAUGGAGGGGGAUAACUACUGGAAACGGUAGCUAAUACCGCAUAACGUCGCAAGACCAAAGAGGGGGACCUUCGGGCCUCUUGCCAUCGGAUGUGCCCAGAUGGGAUUCGCUAGUAGGUGGGGUAACGGCUCACCUAGGCGACGAUCCCUAGCUGGUCUGAGAGGAUGACCAGCCACACUGGAACUGAGACACGGUCCAGACUCCUACGGGAGGCAGCAGUGGGGAAUAUUGCACAAUGGGCGCAAGCCUGAUGCAGCCAUGCCGCGUGUAUGAAGAAGGCCUUCGGGUUGUAAAGUACUGUCAGCGGGGAGGAAGGGAGUAAAGUUAAUACCUUGACUCAUUGACGUUACCCGAAGAAGAAGCACCGGCUAACUCCGUG